CGAUGCCUAUCGCAUCUUUCCCUUCGGGGACAGAAGUGACAGGUGGUGCAUGGUUGUCGUCAGCUCGUGUCGUGAGAUGUUGGGUUAAGUCCCGCAACGAGCGCAACCCUUGCCUUUAUUGCCAGCAUUAAGUUGGGCACUCUAGAGGGACUGCCAGGGAUAACCUGGAGGAAGGUGGGGAUGACGUCAAAUCAUCAUGCCCCUUAUGCUUAGGGCUACACACGUGCUACAAUGGGUGGUACAGAGGGCAGCCAAGUCGUGAGGCCGAGCUAAUCCCUUAAAGCCAUUCUCAGUUCGGAUUGUAGGCUGAAACUCGCCUACAUGAAGCUGGAGUUACUAGUAAUCGCAGAUCAGAAUGCUGCGGUGAAUGCGUUCCCGGGUCUUGUACACA
This 391-nucleotide ribosomal RNA is filed under the name uncultured bacterium. Its description in RNAcentral is "bacterial SSU rRNA". It matches the Rfam family "Bacterial small subunit ribosomal RNA", at positions 996 to 1389 of the family's 1533-position model. The record is from RNAcentral.